RNAcentral lists this ribosomal RNA (421 nucleotides) under uncultured bacterium. RNAcentral's name for it is "bacterial SSU rRNA". It matches the Rfam family "Bacterial small subunit ribosomal RNA", at positions 917 to 1338 of the family's 1533-position model. The record is from RNAcentral.
GGGCCCGCACAAGCGGUGGAGUAUGUGGUUUAAUUCGAUGCAACGCGAAGAACCUUACCUACACUUGACAUCCUCGGAACUUUCUAGAGAUAGAUUGGUGCCUUCGGGAACCGAGUGACAGGUGCUGCAUGGCUGUCGUCAGCUCGUGUCGUGAGAUGUUGGGUUAAGUCCCGUAACGAGCGCAACCCUUAUCCUUAAUUGCCAGCGGUUCGGCCGGGAACUCUAAGGAGACUGCCGAUGACAAAUCGGAGGAAGGUGGGGACGACGUCAAGUCAUCAUGGCCCUUACGUGUAGGGCUACACACGUGCUACAAUGGCCGGUACAAACGGUUGCUAACCUGCGAGGGGAAGCUAAUCCGAGAAAGCCGGUCGUAGUCCGGAUUGGGGUCUGCAACUCGACCCCAUGAAGUCGGAAUCGCUAG